RNAcentral lists this ribosomal RNA (497 nucleotides) under uncultured bacterium. RNAcentral's name for it is "partial 16S ribosomal RNA". It matches the Rfam family "Bacterial small subunit ribosomal RNA", at positions 28 to 507 of the family's 1533-position model. The record is from RNAcentral.
GAUGAACGCUGGCGGCGUGCCUAAUACAUGCAAGUCGAGCGAACGGACGAGAAGCUUGCUUCUCUGAUGUUAGCGGCGGACGGGUGAGUAACACGUGGAUCACCUACCUAUAAGACUGGGAUAACUUCGGGAAACCGGCGCUAAUACCGGAUAAUAUUUUGAACCGCAUGGUUCAAAAGUGAAAGACGGUCUUUCUGUCACUUAUCGAUGGAUCCGCGCUGCAUUAGCUAGUUGGUAAGGUAACGGCUUACCAAGGCAACGAUGCAUAGCCGACCUGAGAGGGUGAUCGGCCACACUGGAACUGAGACACGGUCAAGACUCCUACGGGAGGCAGCAGUAGGGAAUCUUCCGCAAUGGGCGAAAGCAUGACGGAGCAACGCCGAGUGAGUGAUGAAGGUCUUCGGAUCGUAAAACUCUGUUAUUAGGGAAGAACAUAUGUGUAAGUAACUGUGCACAUCGUGACGGUACCUAAUCAGAAAGCCACGGCUAACUACGUG